Molecule: transfer RNA, 64 nt
Filed under: Myospalax psilurus
Lineage: Eukaryota; Metazoa; Chordata; Mammalia; Rodentia; Spalacidae
Description: tRNA-Lys
Source: RNAcentral
CACUGUGAAGCUUUCAGCGUUAACCUUUUAAGUUAAAGAUAGAGAAUAAUUUUCUCCACAUUGA